UACAGAGGUGGCAAGCGUUGUUCGGAAUUACUGGGCGUAAAGGGCGCGUAGGCGGCCAUCUAAGUCAGACGUGAAAUCCCCCGGCUUAACCUGGGAACUGCGUCUGAUACUGGACGGCUUGAGUAUGGGAGAGGGAUGUAGAAUUCCAGGUGUAGCGGUGAAAUGCGUAGAUAUCUGGAGGAACACCGGUGGCGAAGGCGGCAUCCUGGACCGACACUGACACUGAGGAGCGAAAGCCAGGGGAGCAAACGGG
RNAcentral lists this ribosomal RNA (253 nucleotides) under uncultured bacterium. RNAcentral describes it as "partial 16S ribosomal RNA". It matches the Rfam family "Bacterial small subunit ribosomal RNA", at positions 524 to 776 of the family's 1533-position model. The record is from RNAcentral.